This 23-nucleotide non-coding RNA is filed under the name Rattus norvegicus (Norway rat). Lineage: Eukaryota; Metazoa; Chordata; Mammalia; Rodentia; Muridae. The record is from RNAcentral.
UCCUAACAAAUGGAUCAGGGGCU